Molecule: long non-coding RNA, 2438 nt
Organism: Varroa destructor (honeybee mite)
Lineage: Eukaryota; Metazoa; Arthropoda; Arachnida; Mesostigmata; Varroidae
Source: RefSeq, a predicted model, not a curated record
GUUACUGCCACAAUUUUGGGAGAGGGGAACCUUCCGACAGCUGCUAAUUGUAGCGGUUGUAGCUUCUGCUGUCGUUGUUGUUGUUGUUUCUGCUGCUGCUGCUAUUGUCGUCGGUGCAGGUGUUUCGUACGAGAUCAAACAACGCGAGCGUAUCUCUGUGCUUGUUCAAGCAGUGCAGACUGUGUAAAGCGACGGUGCGUGAAUGCCUUUAUAAAGACUGAGGUAGAUAUUCCGCGCUCUGUUUACUCUCUGCUUUGCAGACACUUCUUUUUCCCUAGCUGUUCUCCAUGCGUUGUCUAGAAGCAAGUGUCUACAUGACUGUGUUCUCACUGUCUCUGCCCUCGGCUGCUACUGCCGGUCUACCACUCGUAGUCGCGGAAGCUCUCUUACUACUGUCAAACAACUCCAGGGCGGGUGCAGGACCAGAGCGCGUAGCCGCGGCAUCGGCGUUGCUACUUAUCCGUCUCCUUCUUGAAACUCACCCGAGUCGACUGGCUUGACUAGAAACAAUCGACGAGUAAACUGCGAGAUCAUAGAGGCAGACUCUCCGCUCAUAUUCUUUGAAGUGUCGUAGAGUUUUCCCCGGGCGAGUGAAAAGGCAACCGUGGUGCUGUCGUAAGACUAGUAGCACGGGUAGGAUGAGAGGAAAAGAGUUUCCGGAGAAACAAAUUUCGCGCAUCAGAAAUCGCACCGUACGAAGCGCAGCUGGCAAAAGCUAUGCAGCAGCCGUAAUUUGUAUCCGUUCCUUGCAGUUUACACGAAAGGUUCAGCGGGGUGUUGCCGUUGUGCGCGUAUGGUUAUUGUGCUCCGCAACGUAAGGCCGAAGGUUUUUACUUAGGCUACGGAACUAGGCUACCGCGCGAACAUUGACUGUUAACGAAGGCAUUAGCAGCUGUACUAGGUACACAGCAGCGUGGAUGUAAAACUCGACAAGAAGAUGUCGUCUAAUAUAUAGACACCUGUAUAUGCGGUUAAUACUUAACCAACUGUCUAUCUGCCUAUCGUGCUGUGUCGAACUGGUUUUCCUUCUUUCUUAUGGAGAAAUAUAUUCAAUUGGACUGGCCUGAACUGAAGUUUUUGCCGCGUCGUUCUGGUUGAAAAGCCAAAUUUAGACGAAAUAAAGAUUCUUACCUAAACAAAGAGGUACAACAUCGGUUCUGCACAGGACUUAUAGCUGUUGCUUUCCACAGCUAGGCAACUAUGGUGCAGCAGGUGAAUCGCCAGAAGUUCCAAAGGAACUGUUUCGGCUUUCACGCAUAGGGAUGUUGUUGUUGACGAUAAUGUCGUUUGUUAUAUCGUGCUGGGCCUAAUGGCACUGUGCGACGGCCCGUACACGAACGAGGUAGGAAACAGCUCAAUGACGUGCUUGACGCGAAGCACACUACGACAUUGGCCGAUCAUGGCCGAACGAAGGCGGGUUAGACUGUCCAGCAUUCUGUGUGUCGUUGUGUGUAUAGGAAAUAUCAAAAAUGUCGUAGACGGACCUACUGACAGGUCUCAACUAAGACUAAAAAAAACUUGGUCUGACUAAGUGGUCUUCAGUGGGUGAUCCUGCGCAUAUAGUGUAAGGCUGGGUGUAGUCGCAUUGCAGUCUUGAUUGAAUAACUCUUUACAACUAUGGUUUUUAAUGUCUGAACCUAUAGUCGAAACUUCAUUCCGCUAUGCUUUACGUAGAUAUCGGGAAGUAAACUUUAGGAUAAAUCUUAAUCUUAACAAAUUUCAAUGAACAUCUCACUGUACCUGCGACUGACACUGCACUUAUUAUUAGUAUUAAUUUAUUCACUAUUCUCUUUUGAUAGGAAGCUGCUGAUCACAAACGCGGUUGUCUCUCUAAAUUUUAUUGUACUCUUAUUGGUUCAAUAACCUCGGAUUUUUAUUGUACAAUUUUGUUUUUCCGGGUUACUUUUGUUGUGAAAAGGCUUUCGGUAUCACCUCUUUUUCAGGCAAAGCAUUGCCCCAUUAGGAGUCUGGAAUGAGUCUUGCUACACUUAUUUAGGGUUUCUCCCACAGGCCUACAAAAAGAAAUGGUAUAGUCAAAACUACCUAUCAGUCAUUCUAUUGUCUCAUCCAUUUUAUGAAUAAGCUAAUAAACUUGUUGUACCCCGUAGAAAUCGAAAAAUAUAUCCUGAUCAUUCCCGUGUGUUACGUACAUACUACCGCCAAGUUUCUUUUAAUUUACUACUUAAUGGCGAUGUUUUUGCUGCUACCCUCCUUACAUCGGGUAUAUACUCACAGCACUCAGUGUUGUGUGCGUGUGUGUGAAAAAAAAAAGAAAGUGUCUAGGAUUUUUGCAAACAAUGCGAAUGAAAGAACUGCACUUCGAUUUGGUCGCUUGUGUCUCCCUACAGUCAAAUGGCUGUGAAAUCCGCCUCUCUGAAUUAGUCGGUCGGUCAGUCAGUCUGCUCUGUUUUUACACGUGUUUACGUCGAAUAACAGUG